CGGAGUUCAGUCUUCCCAGGCCCACCACGCUUCGCCGUCGGCUUCGCAUGGCACCGCCAGGCAGAACGACGAGGCGAAGCGCGUCCGGCAUAGCCCGAAGGGCGACGCCGGACAGAAAGAGCGCUUCGUCUUCUGGUUACGGGGCCAUAGCUCAGCUGGGAGAGCGCGUGCUUUGCAAGCAUGAGGUCGUCGGUUCGAUCCCGUCUGGCUCCACCAGAUGGUUUGAUCACCGAGAUCUUGACCGUCGUCCGCGAAACAUCACUUCGCAUCCUGCUAGUCUGGAUAGACAGCAAGUUGCGUGUUUUCUGACAUCGUAAAGAGGAGAUCGAUCCGAGUUGGAUCGUGCAACAUAUCGUUGCGCGAGCCUUCAUUAUCUCCGGAUCAUUUCGGCGCUCGCUUCCAGCCGUGAGGUUGGAUGCGGGUUGUAAAUGAUCCUUUUAGCGAAGCUUGACCGCCUCGCUAUCGGAACGAUCUUACGAAGCAAGCUGGUCUUUCUAGUCAAUGUCCGGCUGUACGUAGCAUUCAUCGAGGGUGCGCGCCCGAGAUUUCGGUCUCUUGGCAAUCGUACAGACAACAUUCUGCCGAGUGUGUGGACAUUGAUAAUGAGAGCAAUCAAGUGCCUUAAGGGUGUUCGGUGGAUGCCUUGGCGCUGAGAGGCGAUGAAGGACGUGCUACGCUGCGAUAAGCCGUGGGGAGCUGCGAAGAAGCUUUGAUCCGCGGAUUUCCGAAGG
Molecule: unclassified non-coding RNA, 731 nt
Filed under: Bradyrhizobium sp. Yac1d/Yakouta1S7/INERA87/STM10225
Lineage: Bacteria; Pseudomonadati; Pseudomonadota; Alphaproteobacteria; Hyphomicrobiales; Nitrobacteraceae
Description: partial 16S-23S ribosomal RNA intergenic space
Rfam family: Bacterial large subunit ribosomal RNA (bases 611-731)
Source: RNAcentral